CCUACGGGAGGCUGCAGUGGGGAAUAUUGGACAAUGGGGGCAACCCUGAUCCAGCCAUGCCGCGUGUGUGAAGAAGGCCCUCGGGUUGUAAAGCACUUUCAGUGAGGAAGAACGCCUGGUGGUUAAUACCCAUCAGGAAAGACAUCACUCACAGAAGAAGCACCGGCUAACUCCGUGCCAGCAGCCGCGGUAAUACGGAGGGUGCGAGCGUUAAUCGGAAUUACUGGUCGUAAAGCGCGCGUAGGUGGCUUGAUAAGCCGGUUAUGAAAGCCCCGGGCUCAACCUGGGAACGGCAUCCGGAACUGUCAAGCUAGAGUGCAGGAGAGGAAGGUAGAAUUCCCGGUGUAGCGGUGAAAUGCGUAGAGAUCGGGAGGAAUACCAGUGGCGAAGGCGGCCUUCUGGACUGACACUGACACUGAGGUGCGAAAGCGUGGGUAGCAAACAGGAUUAGAUACCCUAGUAGUC
RNAcentral lists this ribosomal RNA (465 nucleotides) under Vreelandella stevensii. RNAcentral describes it as "partial 16S ribosomal RNA". It matches the Rfam family "Bacterial small subunit ribosomal RNA", at positions 338 to 795 of the family's 1533-position model. Lineage: Bacteria; Pseudomonadati; Pseudomonadota; Gammaproteobacteria; Oceanospirillales; Halomonadaceae. The record is from RNAcentral.